GCUCAAUUCAUUUUAAAGAUCAAGUGUUCUUUUCCUUCUACUGAGUUUUUUUUUCUUUCACAUUGUAAUGGACACAUUGUUAUAAAGAUCAACCUUGCCAGAAUUCAUAAGGAGAUUCAAGAAGACUAUUACAUUCAUGAUGUAUUACAGGGCUGCAGACUAUUACAACAGGCUCCCUAAAGAACAAAAAUCCAUCUGUUCGUGUUACGAUGACCUGUCUGAAAAAGGAUCUUUGCAGAAGGAGGAAUUGCAGCUAGCAGGGAUUUGCUGAUAAAUAUGGUUGCAGAGGAAAUGGAAUUGAACUAGGUUUGGGGGUUCACUGAGGACAAAGAUGCAGAAUAUUGGCUCCUUGUACAACACACAUAAGGAGCCGGACCUGCUGGCUGCUUCUGGAAGCCUGCCUUAGCGCCCCCCACGCUGCGUUGCUCAUCAGGAGUCACCAGAGGUCUGACUUUCAUUUCCUUCUGCAUUAACUAAGUGGCACAGGGGUCAAUGUGGCCAGUACCAGAUGCUUCUGAGGAACAGGGCAAUUUCAGGAGAUGUCACACUGCACUGCUCUAUAGCAUAAGAAUUUGGAGGAACCUCUGUGAGAAGAUCUUCAGAGUUUUUCUCCUCUUUGAAUCUUCCUGUAAACUUUGUCAAAGGGAGCAUGAAAUGGAACAUGAUCUAACUCUGAGCUUUAGGAUUGGCACAAUGAGAAUGAGUGAAAUGUUGCUGUAAUAAACAAAACAGCAAGGGAGCCCUUUAAAAUACAUAAGAAUAUGUAAAGUACCCACUAACAUAAGUACAGCAAAGCUAGAGCUAAUUAAGGGGCCUGCAUCAAAUAUUUUGACUUUCAUAAAUGUAUCGUCUGUUGAAUAUAGUUCUUUAAACAGUCCAUUUUUGUUACAAUAUAUGUGUCCUCAUUAAAUAUAAUCCUUAAAGUA
This is a long non-coding RNA of Mauremys reevesii (Reeves's turtle), 926 nucleotides long. RefSeq lists it as uncharacterized. The transcript has 8 exons. Lineage: Eukaryota; Metazoa; Chordata; Testudines; Geoemydidae. The record is from RefSeq and is a predicted model, not a curated record.